RNAcentral lists this long non-coding RNA (543 nucleotides) under Jatropha curcas. RNAcentral's name for it is "long non-coding RNA (JCUR_LNC000978)". Lineage: Eukaryota; Viridiplantae; Streptophyta; Magnoliopsida; Malpighiales; Euphorbiaceae. The record is from RNAcentral.
GCCAGGUGGUGGAGAAAGGAACGGGAUAGAAGGAAUUGUAGUUGGGAUAGUGGGGAUAGAAGGCAUGCUUGGCAAUGGAGGCAAAGUGACCUUAGGAACAGUAGGCAUUGUAGGCAAGCUAGGAAGUGGAGGCUGUGUAGUUGGUAAGGUUGGCAGUGUUGGCUGAGGCAGAGUUGGGAUAGAUGGCAUGCUUGGCAAUGGAGGCAAAGUGACCUUAGGAACAGUAGGCAUUGUAGGCAAGCUAGGAAGUGGAGGCUGUGUAGUUGGUAAGGUUGGCAGUGUUGGCUGAGGCAGAGUUGGGAUAGAUGGCAUGCUUGGCAAUGGAGGCAAAGUGACCUUAGGAACAGUAGGCAUUGUAGGCCAGCUAGGAAGUGGAGGCUGUGUAGUUGGUAAGGUUGGCAGUGUAGGCUGAGGCAGAGUUGGGAUAUUGCUAGGCAACGGUGGGAAUGUAGGCUUUGGCAUAUUUGGAAUAGAAGGCAAUGGAGGCAUUUGCAAGAGAUGACGAGCCGCUAAGCCAACAUCCAUGCUUGCAAAUGACAAAGC